This 497-nucleotide ribosomal RNA is filed under the name uncultured bacterium. Its description in RNAcentral is "partial 16S ribosomal RNA". It matches the Rfam family "Bacterial small subunit ribosomal RNA", at positions 28 to 507 of the family's 1533-position model. The record is from RNAcentral.
GAUGAACGCUGGCGGCGUGCCUAAUACAUGCAAGUCGAGCGAACGGGCGAUGAGCUUGCUUUUCUGAAGUUAGCGACGGACGGGUGAGUAACACGUGGAUAACCUACCUAUAAGACUUGAAUAACUUCGGGAAACCGGAGCUAAUACCGGGUAAUAUUUUGAACGGCAUGGUUCAAAAGUUAAUUCGGUGCUUGCUGACACUUAUAGCUGGCUUCUUGCUGCAUUAGUUAGUUGGUAAGGUAACGGCUUCCCAAGGCAACGAUGCAUAGCCGACCUGAGAGCGUGAAGCGCGACUCUGGAAGUGGAACGCGGUACAGACUCCGAGGGGCGGCAGCAGUAGCUACUCUUCGGAGAUGGGCGAAAGCCUGCACGAUCAACGCCGGGUGAGUGAUGCGGGUCUUCGGAUCGUAAAACUCUGUUCUUAGGGAAGAACACAUGCGUAAGUAACGGUGCUCAUCGUGACGGUACCUAGUCAGAAAGCCACGGCUAACUACGUG